RNAcentral lists this unclassified non-coding RNA (1915 nucleotides) under Leishmania donovani. RNAcentral's name for it is "gene:LdHU3.28.0070(CDS-product:dynein_regulatory_ complex_subunit_putative)". Lineage: Eukaryota; Euglenozoa; Kinetoplastea; Trypanosomatida; Trypanosomatidae. The record is from RNAcentral.
AGUGGAAUGAAUUACUUGAGAAAGUGAGGAGGUGCCUUCAAAGUUACUUAGAGUAUCAGCAGCGUCCCUAGACUUGAAAAUGCCGGUUGUCAAGAAGGGUUCCAAGAGAGGCGCCCGGAAGAAGAUUCUUAGCGGUGUCGAGCUCGAGCGGAUGCGUGCGGAGGAGUCGGAAAGACGGUGCCGGCAGCUGAUGUUGUUGCAAAGUCGCCUGCGCGAGGUUGUCGCGGAAGAGAGGGAGAUGUCCAAUGCCGUCUCUGGCGCCAUUGAUGCCCGGUGGAUGCGCUUUCUGCGUGAAUGCAAACAGCGGGAGCUUGUGGCCGAAAUCGAAGUACUGCGGCGAACGUUUGAGGCGACGCUCGACAGAAAGGAGGGCUUUUCCACGACGCUUCUAGAGGAGCUGAGUGUGGCGGAGGAGCAGUGCAGACACGCUUUUCGUUCUCACAUGGACGUUGUCAGCUCUCUGCUUCAGCUGCACGCGGAGCGCACGAAGGACCUGGAGGCAGAUCUCGAUGCCAACGUCGCGGAGAUGCAGCAAGACUUCGAGUAUGAGAGGGCCGAGCUGGAACUGAAGCACAUGAUUGAGAUGGACGACCUGCGGCUGAUUCUGGACAACAUGGCGGCCGAGGCGGAGAUGUUGGAGAAGAGGCUGCAGGAGGAAACGUCUGAGGGUCACGAAACGGCUGCCGAGAAGAUGGACGAGGCAAUGAGGGAGAUGGAAGCAGACCUUAACAAGGUUGAGGAUGGUCUCCGUGGCGAGCUGGACUCACGCUACAAGAAGUUCAUGUCCACCGCGCAGGCAAACAUGAAGGAGUACACAGCGAAGUGUAAGGAGGACCAGGAGACGACGGAGCGCAUUGCUGCCCAGUUGCGCAAGAUCGAAAAACUGCAAAACAGCGUCUCCUCGUGGCGCACCAACAUUGCUCGUAACGCGAAAGAGUGGGAGGGUCGCAACGCAGCUAUCGAGGCCGAACGAGACGCAACACUGAGCCACCUGAAGAAACUGAAGGAUAAGAUGCAACGGUGGAGGGAGAUGCAAUCUAAAGCACUCGUCGAACUUGUGAAGGAGGCGAACGCGACGGAGGAGGCGCUGCAGGCGACUUCGAAGCGAGCCGUGCGUCUUCUGCGGCUAGUGGAACUGUGCAAGCCGAUGGAGACGGAGCGGGAGCAGGUGCUCUUGCACGAGGCGAACAUUUCAUCUGCAGCAGUGGAAGCGGAAACAAAGCGGCGUGUUGCCGCUGAGGGCUCUGUGAACGCACAGGAUGAUGUCCUGUCAGGCGUCGACGCUGCACCGGCUGCGAAUGAGCAGUGGCUGUCGCUGGACCGCUUCUGGGUGAAGCACAACAAGGUGGUGCUGGAUAAUGCGGCGUUGACGCAGGAGCGCUUUCUUUUGCAAGAGGAGAAUCGAGUAUUGCAGGAGGUUCUCAAGCAGUACUUAGAUGACGUUUCCGUUAGCGAUCAGGUGAUGCGUCAGAGCAACACCCUUCUUCUCACACAGGCAGCCAACCGCAACGUUGUCCAGGCCGCCAACGCGGGCGACAGUAGCGUCGUAAGAGGCUACAACGUCAUCGAAGGAAACAAAUUCGUAAACGACCAGAGUCGUCAAGUCGUCAAUCAUUAGUCACUAGUGAGAGUCUCCCGCUAGUUGGAAAGGAGAUGGUGAAGGAAAACGAGACAGAGUUUCCUCGUCGGGGUGCUGUUAUCGGAUCUGUCUACAUGGAACUCCGUCUGCUCGUGUUCCCCCUUGCACUUAUUUUUUUGUGUGUGUGUGAGGAGGGAGCUUUGCGUGUGAAGCCCUGACGGCCCGUGUGGGCGAUGUAAAGAGGGCCACGCUGACGCUGUGCGUGCGAUAUCUGGUACCACGCUGCUUUGUUCUUUGCUUUGGAUGUAUAGCUCCAUUGUCAGCUCUAGUUUCUUC